GAUCAGAGACGGCUGUGUGAACUGGAACCAGUACUAUAACGUCUGUCGGCCCGGCAACGUCAACCCUCACAAAGGAGCGGUGAACUUUGACAACAUAGCCUACGCAUGGAUAGCAAUAUUCCAGGUGAUAACCCUGGAAGGCUGGGUGGACAUCAUGUACUACGUUAUGGAUGCUCACUCCUUCUACAACUUUAUAUAUUUUAUAUUCCUCAUCAUAGUGGGCUCUUUCUUCAUGAUCAACCUGUGCCUGGUAGUCAUAGCGACCCAGUUUGCGGAGACGAAGCAG
This is a long non-coding RNA of Oncorhynchus masou masou (cherry salmon), 286 nucleotides long. RefSeq lists it as uncharacterized. NCBI's taxonomy places the organism in Eukaryota, Metazoa, Chordata, Actinopteri, Salmoniformes, Salmonidae. The record is from RefSeq and is a predicted model, not a curated record. The transcript has 3 exons.